This is a small nuclear RNA of Rattus norvegicus (Norway rat), 103 nucleotides long. The record is from Ensembl. NCBI's taxonomy places the organism in Eukaryota, Metazoa, Chordata, Mammalia, Rodentia, Muridae.
UUACUUCAGCAGCACAUAUGCUAAAAUUGAAACAACACAGAGAAGAUUAGCAUGACCCAUAUAUGACAAUGAUACACAAAUUCAUGAAGCAUUUCAUAUUUUU